AAAUAAGAAGUGAUCUCACGUUUAGUUUCGACCUAAAAAUAUGGGCCUUCAAAGCCCCUUAUUUA
This 65-nucleotide transfer RNA is filed under the name Chrysomeloidea sp. 4 KM-2017. RNAcentral describes it as "tRNA-Arg". The record is from RNAcentral. Lineage: Eukaryota; Metazoa; Arthropoda; Insecta; Coleoptera.